Long non-coding RNA from Pantherophis guttatus, 240 nucleotides. RefSeq lists it as uncharacterized. NCBI's taxonomy places the organism in Eukaryota, Metazoa, Chordata, Lepidosauria, Squamata, Colubridae. The record is from RefSeq and is a predicted model, not a curated record.
UGGGGGUUUUAACCUACAGUUUGGGGGCGUUUCUCAGGGGGAGGAUGGUUGCUCUGUAUCUUUUUGUCUUUCGGAAACUUGUUUAAAAGCCAGUGAUAUUUACAUGUCCCUGUCUGGUCAGGGACAAAACACUGUGAUCAUGCAUCCCCACCCUCUUCCCUAGAAAAGCCAGCCAUAAGAAGUUCCUCAGAAAAUAUAAAAGUCAAGCCUCUAAUAAAAAACUGUCCAAGGCGCAUUCCA